UUGGAUCUUCCAAGUCCGAGGAAAGAGGCGUAUGUGAAAGGGAUCAUAAGGAAGAUACGGAUGAGUAUGGCAAUGACAACGGCGACAAUUGUGGUAAUGGGAAACCACGAGUUGGGAAGAAAAAACCCAAGAAGAAAAGGGACAAGCUGAAAUGCUUUUUCUGCGACGGUCCACACAUGCUAAAGAAAUGUCUGAUGAAAUCCGCGCUUAGGAAGAAGCCGGUGGGUAAGGCCUUGGGACUUGGUUUGAGCGCA
RNAcentral lists this long non-coding RNA (254 nucleotides) under Gossypium barbadense (sea-island cotton). RNAcentral's name for it is "long non-coding RNA (GBAR_LNC011045)". The record is from RNAcentral. Lineage: Eukaryota; Viridiplantae; Streptophyta; Magnoliopsida; Malvales; Malvaceae.